Molecule: long non-coding RNA, 6514 nt
Filed under: Human betaherpesvirus 5
Lineage: Duplodnaviria; Heunggongvirae; Peploviricota; Herviviricetes; Herpesvirales; Orthoherpesviridae
Description: RNA4.9
Source: RNAcentral
GGCGCAGUCCGCGGCAGGGUUCCGGCCGUGCUGCGGUCCGCACGCUGCGCCCGCUCCCGCCUGCCUCCCGCCCUACCCCCCACCCUCCCCGGCCGAGGCCCGGCGCCGGUCCGUCCGCGGGCCCGUCCCACCGCCCUGGAGCACCAUCCGGGGCCGUGGGCCGGGCACCGGGCGCGGCCCGCUCCGGACCUCGGCCGGGGGUCCCUCCCCUCCCCCCGCUCGACCCCCCAUCCGACGGCCCGGCCGGGCUGGGACCCCCGCACCGGGGUCCCGGUUCCCGUCCGCGGCCCGGGGGGACCCGAGCGGGGGCUUCCCACCCCCACCCCGCUCCUCCCCGGGCUCCGGCCCGGGAUCCCUCGCUGCUCCCGGCGGCCUCCGCCGGCUUCCCGGUCCACCCGCCGCGGAACGGACGGGACCCGGGGUCCGCGCCCUUCCCCUCCCCCCACGGGGGGCUGGGUCGCGGACCCCGGUUCCUAGGCUCGUUCCGCGGUGGGCGACCGGGGAUCCCCCACCCCGCUCCUCCCCGGGCUCCGGCCCGGGAUCCCUCGCUGCUCCCGGCGGCCUCCGCCGGCUUCCCGGUCCACCCGCCGCGGAACGGACGGGACCCGGGGUCCGCGCCCUUCCCCUCCCCCCACGGGGGGCUGGGUCGCGGACCCCGGUUCCUAGGCUCGUUCCGCGGUGGGCGACCGGGGAUCCCCCACCCCGCUCCUCCCCGGGCUCCGGCCCGGGAUCCCUCGCUGCUCCCGGCGGCCUCCGCCGGCUUCCCGGUCCACCCGCCGCGGAACGGACGGGACCCGGGGUCCGCGCCCUUCCCCUCCCCCCACGGGGGGCUGGGUCGCGGACCCCGGUUCCUAGGCUCGUUCCGCGGUGGGCGACCGGGGAUCCCCCACCCAGCUCCCCUUCCCGGCUCGCCCCGCUGGCUUUUGGGCCCCUCCGGGCUUUUUUUCCGGCUGGGGGUCGCGGCGGCCGGCCGACGACGGUAGGUGGGCCGGGCGGACGGUGGUGGGGACGGGCGACGCCCCGGCUCGACGGCAGUCGGCCCCGGAGGGUUGGGGGCUGGGGGCCCGGUCAGGAGCUCCGGGAGCGGGGUCGACCGCGACGGCUUCCGGGUCUCGCGGCGGCUCCCUCUCGGCGGCUCCGGUUGGGCUCCCCUCCCCCCUCUCGAGGGUCCGGUCGCCGGUUGUGGUCGGGGGUCCCUCGGCCUAGCCGCCGGCUCUCGGUCCGCCUUACCCUGGGCGUUGGCCGGUCCCGUGACGCUCCCCUCCCCCGCUGCUCCCCAAAAACUCCGCCCGAACCGUCGCGGUUUGCUGGCCCUGGGCGUGGUCUCCCCACUCCCCUCCCCCCAUCGGCCGCCCAGCCGGGGUCGGCGCCUCGGACCCCACCAGGCUGUGGCGUGUGUGCUGGCCGAUGCGGCGGCGAGGUUGGGUGUGGCCGGAAGCGCUCGGGGUCGACGGUGGGCCGCCAUGACACCUCAAUUGCCGUCAGUACGCCCCUCCACAAUCACCGUCCCCACACGAUGGGCCCGGCAGUUCACCCAACGUUGGUUCAGGCCCAGUCGGGUUUUUCCCCGGUACGAACGCACGUCCCCGUGGGCUCCACGCGUUUUCCACCCUUUCCUGGAGGGGUCCGGAACACCGUGAAUCCACGGGGAGGGUCCCGGCACGGGCCGAGGAGACCACGACCGUCCCACCCGGCGUGUCGACUCGUCCGAGACCCGGGAAGGGAACAGGCCCCACCUUUUUUCCCUUCUCCGAUUUGCCGUGGAAAACCCGUGAACCGAUACGGGUGCAGACGGCCGAAAAAAUUCGAGACGGCAAUACGACGGCAGGGCGUGAUUUUCUCCCCCACCCGACAAAACCGUGUCCCUCAAAAUUCCCCACCUUUCUCUGUUCAAAUGGCCCCGAAACUGUAAAACACCGUUUGACCGCACCCCAACCGGCGCCAUCUUGGUGACCUUCUCGACGGUUCUCUCGCUCGUCAUGCCGUUCUGAGCUCCGACAUGGCGGACGAGAGAAAAUGGCGUCGAGAGCCGAGGAGCGUUUUCGCUCCAGGCGGGUAAAAAAAUAGCACGAUAACUUUUCUGUGCUUUUUUGAGACGUUUUUGAAGAGCUUUUUUUCUGCUCAGAGCGAAAAAAUGAUAGCCCUGAAAAUCUCGACGAGUCUGGCCGAGCGGCGCCAUCUUGGAGGAGGGGCGAGUCGCGGGCACCGCCUCGGUACCCCCUGGCCGAGGCGAGUCCGCGGUCGCCGCCUGUUCCGUGAUGCUACCUAGAGGGCGCCGUCGAGGCGACUCUUCCUGUUUUCGCCCUGAGGGCUAACGGUCGCUGACGUCAAACCAUCUCGUGCUCGCUGAGUCACAUCCGGUUGUUGACAAGCGAUGGAGGACCGCACCCAAAGUGCGCCCUCUAGUCAUCGCGCCUGACCCCUUUUAUAAACUGCUCGAAGAAAAGAACACCUUAUGUGAAAAAAUACAGAAUGAUGACAAGUUCAUUCAACACAACCGCUCAACAACGCCAUAUCUAUCAGUGUCCAAAAACUAUCUUCUAUCCUUUGAAACUAUAAAUGCUGCCUAUAUACAUAUUUAGUAUCCAAGACUCUUACCACGUAGACGAAAAGAAGUGAUACAAUGAUCUUGACGUGUAUCGUCUAUAUCGUGCUAGAUAUAUUCAGAUAAGACGCGCAAACCAUAGAUUUCUCAUCAGUAUCAUGAAAGACCUAUAGCUCUAUAUACGAACCUAGUCAUUUUAGGACAGCCGCCGGAGAAGCCGACGAGGGAUCGGGCGGGUGCAGCCAGAACCUCACGCCCGAUCCCGCCUCCGGUAGGCGAUUUGCAUCUGUUUGGUAAAAAGCUCAUAAGUCUGUAUGUGACCUAUAUAUAUAUUAUACGCUAUGUACACCGAACUGUCGCUGUUGUAUAAGAAGAAAAAACUCUCCAUAUUUAUAUCGUCUGAAUUUUUGCUUGAUAGACACGUGUUUGGAACUCUGUCCCCCCACGUUUUCACUGUGUAUAACAAAAAUAUGUGUUUCUCAAAAGAUCUUGAGGUGUUUGAAAACGGGGGAAACCUGCGUUUGGGUGCGCUAAGCCCCGGACUGGGACGUAGCCGGCGUCCGGCACCUAUAUUUUUCUAUUUUUUUUUUACAAAAUAUAUGAUGAACCAAGAAUAAAACUCGUAGUUUGACCGCACCCCAACCGGCGCCAUCUUGGUGACCUUCUCGACGGUUCUCUCGCUCGUCAUGCCGUUCUGAGCUCCGACAUGGCGGACGAGAGAAAAUGGCGUCGAGAGCCGAGGAGCGUUUUCGCUCCAGGCGGGUAAAAAAAUAGCACGAUAACUUUUCUGUGCUUUUUUGAGACGUUUUUGAAGAGCUUUUUUUCUGCUCAGAGCGAAAAAAUGAUAGCCCUGAAAAUCUCGACGAGUCUGGCCGAGCGGCGCCAUCUUGGAGGAGGGGCGAGUCGCGGGCACCGCCUCGGUACCCCCUGGCCGAGGCGAGUCCGCGGUCGCCGCCUGUUCCGUGAUGCUACCUAGAGGGCGCCGUCGAGGCGACUCUUCCUGUUUUCGCCCUGAGGGCUAACGGUCGCUGACGUCAAACCAUCUCGUGCUCGCUGAGUCACAUCCGGUUGUUGACAAGCGAUGGAGGACCGCACCCAAAGUGCGCCCUCUAGUCAUCGCGCCUGACCCCUUUUAUAAACUGCUCGAAGAAAAGAACACCUUAUGUGAAAAAAUACAGAAUGAUGACAAGUUCAUUCAACACAACCGCUCAACAACGCCAUAUCUAUCAGUGUCCAAAAACUAUCUUCUAUCCUUUGAAACUAUAAAUGCUGCCUAUAUACAUAUUUAGUAUCCAAGACUCUUACCACGUAGACGAAAAGAAGUGAUACAAUGAUCUUGACGUGUAUCGUCUAUAUCGUGCUAGAUAUAUUCAGAUAAGACGCGCAAACCAUAGAUUUCUCAUCAGUAUCAUGAAAGACCUAUAGCUCUAUAUACGAACCUAGUCAUUUUAGGACAGCCGCCGGAGAAGCCGACGAGGGAUCGGGCGGGUGCAGCCAGAACCUCACGCCCGAUCCCGCCUCCGGUAGGCGAUUUGCAUCUGUUUGGUAAAAAGCUCAUAAGUCUGUAUGUGACCUAUAUAUAUAUUAUACGCUAUGUACACCGAACUGUCGCUGUUGUAUAAGAAGAAAAAACUCUCCAUAUUUAUAUCGUCUGAAUUUUUGCUUGAUAGACACGUGUUUGGAACUCUGUCCCCCCACGUUUUCACUGUGUAUAACAAAAAUAUGUGUUUCUCAAAAGAUCUUGAGGUGUUUGAAAACGGGGGAAACCUGCGUUUGGGUGCGCUAAGCCCCGGACUGGGACGUAGCCGGCGUCCGGCACCUAUAUUUUUCUAUUUUUUUUUUACAAAAUAUAUGAUGAACCAAGAAUAAAACUCUAGCUCUCGUCUAUUUUUAAUAUGCUCUACUUAGAACCUUUUUAAUGACAGAAUGAACUCCAUGUUAUACGCUCUUUAUAUAGUUUCUCUGCACUAACCUUUAAAACCGUAUCCUUCCCUGUUGUACAAAUCAUCUUUUGAUACACAAUGAUGACCUGAUAUCCCUCCAUAUAUAUGAUCGGAUAUUAUUCCGUUAGACUUGUCCUCCUUUUUUUUCCUCAUCUCCUGUAUCUGGAGAUAUAUGUUGACCACCACCGCCAUGACCACCAAAAAGCUAGCCGUCACGACUAGAAAUGUGUAGGAUUCGGACUUUCCGUUUGAGAAGAAAGAGACCGCGUCUCUGGACGCUCUUUUUGUCGGUCUGAAUCGACCCGGGAUACGUAAGAGAGCGGCCCUACAUCGGGGGGCGCUCGAGACCGACGACGUUCCAUCUGACCAGAAAAAAAAAGGCACCCCUCGGUGGCGACCUCUCACCAUCGUUUGCCCGUCCGCCCGUCCUUCGUAGCCAUCAUCAUCAUCUCAGGCUCUAUCGGUACCAUCGUUGUCAUCUGAAAAAAAAAACUGCCUCACCCACCUGCGUAAAAACACCAUCUUUCCGGAGGUGCGGUAAGACGGGCAAAUACGGUCGUGCCGAGGCAAAAAAACGCACCAUCGACACCACACCCUCAUGAGCACCACCUGUCGGUGUUGGUCGUCCUCCAUCGUUCUCUACGAACAUCUCGACGCCCGGGUGACGGACGACGGCAAGACGUCCCGGAGAAGACGGUGUUCUCUCGGGCGGUACGCUCUCUGGAUCUAUAAUAUCUAUAGUAGCUAAACGAGACUGUGAGUACGACGAACCACAUCAUCUUUUUUUUAUGUUGCUUCUUUAGAAAAUGACUUAUGUCGACGACACUCGGCAUCAGCCAUCUCGUGAAACACGCUCGCUUUUCGUCUCUCCAAGGAACACUGGGUCCGCUGAAAGGGACCGUGUACCGACCAAAGCAAAAAACACACACGUAGUAACAUGAUCAACCACGUCUGAAUGACACGAAAACACAAUCGUAUAACGCUCUAUUCAUGGAACGAACUUGGAAUAAAAAAACCAUCGCAGGCCAGAGGCUAAGCCGAAACCGUCCGGGGAAGCGGGCGCGAGUUUUCCGACUUAGUCUCUGGUGCUCGUUGAGCCUCUUUUUUUUUUCCUGAUUCUCUGAAGAAUCACCGUCACAGCCCUAUGACGCGAAAUCAAUUGCUAGAACAUAAACGUUCUCAACAGGUAUGAAAUGAACAAACUAGAUGAUGCUAUAACCUUAUAUUGUGUGUAUAUAGAUAGGUGUGAAAUUUGUAGGAUAAAAAGUGUCGUUGUAUGAUGCACAACGAUCGUGAAACUGGAGACUGUAGCUCUCUACCGAAUGCAAAUACACAAAUGACAUCGAUUCCCGUCCCCACAUAAAGAAAUGUGCUUUACUGUGAAAGAAUGAAGAAGAUUCUUGUUCCUCGUACGACGGGGCCCUCGCUCGUCGUGCCUCUUCCCCCCUCCGGGAGAGGGGACGUCGGGGCCCUCCGUCGCACCGGGCCGAAGCCAGUGAAAUGUUUACUACACUGUCAUCAGAAUAUAUGAUGUAUAUUAUUUCCUCCAAACUCCUCACCAUAGCCACCAAUUCGCAUCACUUAAGAAAGUAGUAGCAACCGCGGCGGCGGCGACCGGCCGGUCGUCGUCUCCUCGUCCUCAAAUGUUGUACAUGUGCAGAAAAAUGUGUAAAUACGUGUUAUUUAUCCCAUGCGUCUUGUACAUAGAUAUAUGUUUUUAUAUACGCUAUUUAUACUUUAUAUAUCCUUUUGCAUAACCAUAGACAGUCAAGGAUUUUAAUGAUUUGCUCAUCCGCCUUUGAGCCAUCGCUUAGGAGUUAGUUCCUCUAUGUUCUCGGCCCACCUUUUCGACUACAGUAGCAAACCCUUGUACUACCACCCCGAUAAAAACCACAUCAUCAUCGUCACCACGACCUGGAAACGACACACGUUCCCCCCCAAUCUUGGGCAUGUGUAUAUAUAAAAAGAAUGGGAGGGAGAGGACGUGGGGCUCGAGAAGAAAUAAACGCCAAGCUCGAUUCGAACC